This 441-nucleotide ribosomal RNA is filed under the name uncultured bacterium. RNAcentral's name for it is "partial 16S ribosomal RNA". It matches the Rfam family "Bacterial small subunit ribosomal RNA", at positions 338 to 795 of the family's 1533-position model. The record is from RNAcentral.
CCUACGGGUGGCAGCAGUGGGGAAUAUUGCACAAUGGGGGGAACCCUGAUGCAGCGACGCCGCGUGGGUGAAGGAGUAUUUCGGUAUGUAAAGCCCUAUCAGCAGGGGAGAACAAUGACGGUAGCGGACUAGGAGGCAGCGGAUAAGUACGGGCCAGCAGCGGCGGUAAUACGGAGGAUGCGAGGGUUAUACGGAUUUACUGGGUGUAAUGGGUGCGCAGGCGGAGCGAUAAGCUUGAUGUGAAAGCCCCGGGCCCAACCCGGGAACUGCAUUGAGAACUGGGGAUCUGGAGAGCCGGAGGGGUAGGCGGAAUGUCUGGUGUAGCGGUGAAAUGCGUAGAUAUUAGACAGAACACCAAUUGCGAAGGCAGCCUACUGGACGAUAACUGACGCUGAGGCUCGAAAGCGUGGGGAGCAAACAGGAUUAGAUACCCUAGUAGUC